UACAGAGGUGGCAAGCGUUAUCCGGAAUUAUUGGGCGUAAAGAGUUCGUAGGCGGUUUGUUAAGUUGGAUGUUAAAGCCCAGGGCCCAACCCUGGAAUGGUGUUCAAAACUGGCAAACUUGAGACAAGUAGAGGCAAGUAGAAUUCUGCAUGUAGGGGUAAUAUCCGUAGAUAUGCAGAGGAAUACCAAAAGCGAAGGCAGCUUGCUGGACUUGUUCUGACGCUCAGGAACGAAAGCGUGGGGAGCGAACGGG
This 253-nucleotide ribosomal RNA is filed under the name uncultured bacterium. RNAcentral describes it as "partial 16S ribosomal RNA". It matches the Rfam family "Bacterial small subunit ribosomal RNA", at positions 524 to 776 of the family's 1533-position model. The record is from RNAcentral.